CAGAGACACCUCUGCCCCAGCCCAGAAGUGCAGGCCACUGAGCCCGACUGUCCCCUCUGGAGCUGUCCUCGCCCAGCACCCGUUUCUGCCUGGAGGAGUGAAGGAGGACCUGAGCUCUGUUCCUGACUGAUGGACGCCUGAGGUGGGCAGUGCAGGCCCCGGCUGGCAGCUGCCACCGACCAGGACCAGGCAGCGAGCUCACACCUACGGGGAGUCAGCUUGCGUUGCCUGUUCAUCAGAAGAAAAGAAGAUGAACUGUGAAGGGAACCAGGCUGAGGAGCAGUCUCGAGGGCACGCAGGACCUCACCACAGGGCCUCUGUGUGCCACCUUCGACAGCGGACACAGGACCUGCACAGAAAGCCUUGGCCCCUUGCGGGCUCGGAAAUGACCACCCAGAAAAGUCUCAGGAAACGUUGUCAUUGCAAAGUCGUGGUGUUUGAUAUUUCAUCUGUUUAUUUGUAGUGAUUAAAAAU
Heterocephalus glaber (naked mole-rat) is the source of this 474-nucleotide long non-coding RNA. The record is from Ensembl. NCBI's taxonomy places the organism in Eukaryota, Metazoa, Chordata, Mammalia, Rodentia, Bathyergidae.